RNAcentral lists this transfer RNA (85 nucleotides) under Tissierellia bacterium. RNAcentral's name for it is "tRNA-Leu". It matches the Rfam family "tRNA". Rfam says of the family: Transfer RNA (tRNA) molecules are approximately 80 nucleotides in length. Their secondary structure includes four short double-helical elements and three loops (D, anti-codon, and T loops). Lineage: Bacteria; Bacillati; Bacillota; Tissierellia. The record is from RNAcentral.
GCGGAUAUGGCGGAAUUGGCAGACGCGUAUGAUUCAGGUUCAUAUAUCAAUAGAUGUGAAGGUUCAAAUCCUUUUAUCCGCACCA